Cercocebus atys (sooty mangabey) is the source of this 87-nucleotide ribosomal RNA. The record is from Ensembl. Lineage: Eukaryota; Metazoa; Chordata; Mammalia; Primates; Cercopithecidae.
GCUCACCGUGACAGCUCCUAAGAAGGGUUUGGCCUGGUUUGUACUUGAAUGGGAGAUUGACUGGGAAUUCUAGGCGGGUAGUGGGCU